AGAUCAUCCUUAUUUCUUUCCAGUCAUAUUUGCAACCACAUCGCUUAAUACAGGCUGAGGAACUUGCUUAGAUGCUUCAUAGGAAUCCAGAAUUGGCCGUACGAAGGCUGGAAGGAAAAGACCAAUUCCUCCGAUUAAACAAGAUGCAGCCACCACGGGCUCUUGAACUACGAACAUCUUCAGCUUCUCCAUGACCGGCAUUUUCUCGAAAGUUUCGUCUGAUUCGCUUCCUGAGCUGAACGUUCGUGGCUUGAUUCUUCAAAGUCCAAAGUUAACGAGUGAAAAG
This 286-nucleotide unclassified non-coding RNA is filed under the name Hevea brasiliensis (rubber tree). The record is from RNAcentral. Lineage: Eukaryota; Viridiplantae; Streptophyta; Magnoliopsida; Malpighiales; Euphorbiaceae.